AAGGUCCCGCCUGCCCAGUGAAACUUUCAACGGCCGCGGUCCCUAACCGUGCAAAGGUAGCGCAAUCACCUGUCCCUUAAUUGAAGACUAGUAUGAACGGCUAAAUGAGGGCUCGACUGUCUCCUGAGAUCAAUCAAUGAAAUUGACCCCACAGUACAAACGCUGUGAUAUAUACAUAAGACGAAAAGACCCUAUGGAGCUUUAAACCCCUGUACUACCGGAAGACCUAAACUCACCCCGCCCUAGUACACAUUUUUAGUUGGGGCAACUACGGAGCAAAAUAAAAACUCCAUGACAGACACAUAACAAGCGCACAACCCCAGGCCGCCACGCCACACUAAUAUACGACCCAGUAUAACUGACCAUCGAACCAAGUUACCCUAGGGAUAACAGCGCCAUCUUCCCCCAAGAGCCCUUAUCAACGGGGAGGCUUACGACCUCGAUGUUGGAUCAGGACCCCCCGGCGGUGCAGCCGCUGCCAAAGGUUCGUUUGUUCAACGACUAAUGUCCU
RNAcentral lists this ribosomal RNA (511 nucleotides) under Lygodactylus miops. RNAcentral describes it as "partial large subunit ribosomal RNA". It matches the Rfam family "Bacterial large subunit ribosomal RNA", at positions 1849 to 2597 of the family's 2925-position model. Lineage: Eukaryota; Metazoa; Chordata; Lepidosauria; Squamata; Gekkonidae. The record is from RNAcentral.